RNAcentral lists this ribosomal RNA (254 nucleotides) under uncultured bacterium. RNAcentral describes it as "partial 16S ribosomal RNA". It matches the Rfam family "Bacterial small subunit ribosomal RNA", at positions 524 to 776 of the family's 1533-position model. The record is from RNAcentral.
UACGGAGGGAGCGAGCGUUGUCCGAAGUUACUGGGCGUAAAGCGCGCGUAGGCGGGGAAUUAAGUGAGAAGUGAAAGGCUGGGGCUCAACCUCAUGCAGUGCUUCUCAUACUGGUUCUCUUGAGGGCGGUAGGGAGAAGUGGAAUGGCUGGUGUAGCGGUGAAAUGCGUAGAUAUCAGUCGGAACACCGAUGGCGAAGGCGGCUUCUUGGGCCGUUUCUGACGCUGAGGCGCGAAAGCCAGGGGAGCGAACGGG